GGUCUCGUAGCUCAGUUGGUUAGAGCGUUGGCUGUACUAAAGCUUUCCCCUUACUGGCGUGGGUUCGAAUCGCACCGAGACCG
This 83-nucleotide transfer RNA is filed under the name Schistocephalus solidus. It matches the Rfam family "tRNA". From Rfam's summary of the family: Transfer RNA (tRNA) molecules are approximately 80 nucleotides in length. Their secondary structure includes four short double-helical elements and three loops (D, anti-codon, and T loops). Lineage: Eukaryota; Metazoa; Platyhelminthes; Cestoda; Diphyllobothriidea; Diphyllobothriidae. The record is from Rfam by way of RNAcentral.